This 468-nucleotide ribosomal RNA is filed under the name uncultured bacterium. Its description in RNAcentral is "partial 16S ribosomal RNA". It matches the Rfam family "Bacterial small subunit ribosomal RNA", at positions 28 to 507 of the family's 1533-position model. The record is from RNAcentral.
GACGAACGCUGGCGGCGUGCUUAACACAUGCAAGUCGAACGGAAAGGCCCUGCUUUUGUGGGGUGCUCGAGUGGCGAACGGGUGAGUAACAUGUGAGUAACCUGCCCUUGACUUUGGGAUAACUUCAGGAAACUGGGGCUAAUACCGGAUAGGAGCUCCUGCUGCAUGGUGGGGGUUGGAAAGUUUCGGCGGUUGGGGAUGGACUCGCGGCUUAUCAGCUUGUUGGUGGGGUAGUGGCUUACCAAGGCUUUGACGGGUAGCCGGCCUGAGAGGGUGACCGGCCACAUUGGGACUGAGAUACGGCCCAGACUCCUACGGGAGGCAGCAGUGGGGAAUAUUGCACAAUGGGCGGAAGCCCGAUGCAGCAACGCCGCGUGCGGGAUGACGGCCUUCGGGUUGUAAACCGCUUUCGCCUGUGACGAAGCGUGAGUGACGGUAAUGGGUAAAGAAGCACCGGCUAACUACGUG